This 433-nucleotide ribosomal RNA is filed under the name uncultured bacterium. RNAcentral's name for it is "partial 16S ribosomal RNA". It matches the Rfam family "Bacterial small subunit ribosomal RNA", at positions 29 to 507 of the family's 1533-position model. The record is from RNAcentral.
AACGAACGCUGGCGGCAUGCCUAACACAUGCAAGUCGAACGACACCUUCGUAACUAGUUGCUCACGGGUGCGUCGCGCGUGGGAAGCUUCCCGUAGGUUCGGAAUACCUCUCCUUCGGGGGUGCUAAUGCCGGGUAAUUUAUGCUGACAAAAGAUUGAUCGUCCUUGGGUGGGCCCGCGUUGGUUUAGCUAGUUGGUAGGGUAAAAGCCUACGAAGGCGACGAUCCAUAGCUGGUCUGAGAGGAUGAGCAGCCACACUGGGACUGGGACACGGCCCAGACUCCUACGCGAGGCAGCAGUGGGGAAUACUGGACAAUGGGCGAAAGCAUGAACGAGCAAGGCCGGGUGAGUGAUGAAGGCCUUAGGGUUGUAAAGCUCUUUUACCCGGGAUGAUAAUGACGGUACCGGGAGAAUAAGCUCCGGCUAACUCCGUG